This 442-nucleotide ribosomal RNA is filed under the name Psychrobacter sp. ANT9. RNAcentral describes it as "bacterial SSU rRNA". It matches the Rfam family "Bacterial small subunit ribosomal RNA", at positions 69 to 508 of the family's 1533-position model. The record is from RNAcentral. Lineage: Bacteria; Pseudomonadati; Pseudomonadota; Gammaproteobacteria; Moraxellales; Moraxellaceae.
CGAUGAUAGCUUGCUAUCAGGCGUCGAGCGGCGGACGGGUGAGUAAUACUUAGGAAUCUACCUAGUAGUGGGGGAUAGCACGGGGAAACUCGUAUUAAUACCGCAUACGACCUACGGGAGAAAGGGGGCAGUUUACUGCUCUCGCUAUUAGAUGAGCCUAAGUCGGAUUAGCUAGAUGGUGGGGUAAAGGCCUACCAUGGCGACGAUCUGUAGCUGGUCUGAGAGGAUGAUCAGCCACACCGGGACUGAGACACGGCCCGGACUCCUACGGGAGGCAGCAGUGGGGAAUAUUGGACAAUGGGCGAAAGCCUGAUCCAGCCAUGCCGCGUGUGUGAAGAAGGCCUUUUGGUUGUAAAGCACUUUAAGCAGUGAAGAAGACUCCGUGGUUAAUACCCACGGACGAUGACAUUAGCUGCAGAAUAAGCACCGGCUAACUCUGUGC